UGGGGAAUAUUGCACAAUGGGCGAAAGCCUGAUGCAGCGACGCCGCGUGAGGGAUGACGGCCUUCGGGUUGUAAACCUCUUUCAGCAGGGAAGAAGCGAAAGUGACGGUACCUGCAGAAGAAGCGCCGGCUAACUACGUGCCAGCAGCCGCGGUAAUACGUAGGGCGCAAGCGUUGUCCGGAAUUAUUGGGCGUAAAGAGCUCGUAGGCGGUUAGUCGCGUCUGCUGUGAAAACUCGAGGCUCAACCUCGGGCUUGCAGUGGGUACGGGCUGACUAGAGUGCGGUAGGGGUGACUGGAAUUCCUGGUGUAGCGGUGGAAUGCGCAGAUAUCAGGAGGAACACCGAUGGCGAAGGCAGGUCACUGGGCCGCAACUGACGCUGAGGAGCGAAAGCAUGGGGAGCGAACAGGAUUAGAUACCCUGGUAGUCCAUGCCGUAAACGUUGGGCACUAGGUGUGGGGUCCAUUCCACGGAUUCCGUGCCGCAGCAAACGCAUUAAGUGCCCCGCCUGGGGAGUACGGCCGCAAGGCUAAAACUCAAAGGAAUUG
Molecule: ribosomal RNA, 547 nt
Filed under: uncultured bacterium
Lineage: Bacteria
Description: partial 16S ribosomal RNA
Rfam family: Bacterial small subunit ribosomal RNA
Source: RNAcentral